RNAcentral lists this ribosomal RNA (491 nucleotides) under uncultured bacterium. RNAcentral describes it as "partial 16S ribosomal RNA". It matches the Rfam family "Bacterial small subunit ribosomal RNA", at positions 28 to 507 of the family's 1533-position model. The record is from RNAcentral.
GAUGAACGCUGGCUACAGGCUUAACACAUGCAAGUCGAGGGGAAACGACGGGGAAGCUUGCUUCCCCGGGCGUCGACCGGCGCACGGGUGAGUAACGCGUAUCCAACCUGCCUCUGACUGAGGGAUAACCCGUCGAAAGUCGGCCUAAUACCUCAUGGCAUCGUCUGCGGGCAUCCAACGACGAUUAAAGAUUUCAUCGGUCAGGGAUGGGGAUGCGUCUGAUUAGCUUGUUGGCGGGGUAACGGCCCACCAAGGCUACGAUCAGUAGGGGUUCUGAGAGGAAGGUCCCCCACAUUGGAACUGAGACACGGUCCAAACUCCUACGGGAGGCAGCAGUGAGGAAGAUUGGUCAAUGGGCGGGAGCCUGAACCAGCCAAGUAGCGUGCAGGAUGACGGCCCUAUGGGUUGUAAACUGCUUUUAUGCGGGGAUAAAGUGAGGGACGUGUCCUUCAUUGCAGGUACCGCAUGAAUAAGGACCGGCUAAUUCCGUG